This 227-nucleotide long non-coding RNA is filed under the name Helianthus annuus (common sunflower). Its description in RNAcentral is "hypothetical non coding rna". The record is from RNAcentral. Lineage: Eukaryota; Viridiplantae; Streptophyta; Magnoliopsida; Asterales; Asteraceae.
GUUUAUGAGAUCUAGGGUUUCUGGGGGUAUUUUUCUGGGUUGGCGAUUAUGGUUUGGUGAUCUGUAUCGUUUUUUGUAUUGUUUGAUCUCUUGUGAAGAUCAGUUUUGUAUUGAUUAGAUCUGUACAGAUCAACUGAUUUGUAUCAGUUGAUCGUUGUGUUUGUCAUAUUGUUACAGAUCUCAUAGUUUAUGAGAUCUAGGGUUUCUGGGGGUAUUUUUCUGGGUUG